UUUAAUUCGAAGCAACGCGCAGAACCUUACCAGCGUUUGACAUGUCCGGACGACUUCGAGAGAUCGAUUUCUUCCCUUCGGGGACUGGAACACAGGUGCUGCAUGGCUGUCGUCAGCUCGUGUCGUGAGAUGUUGGGUUAAGUCCCGCAACGAGCGCAACCCUCGACUUUAGUUACCAUCAUUUAGUUGGGUACUCUAAAGUAACCGCCGGUGAUAAGCCGGAGGAAGGUGGGGAUGACGUCAAGUCCUCAUGGCCCUUACGCGCUGGGCUACACACGUGCUACAAUGGCGACUACAGUGGGCUGCAAACUCGCGAGGGUGAGCUAAUCUCCAAAAGUCGUCUCAGUUCGGAUUGCACUCUGCAACUCGAGUGCAUGAAGGCGGAAUCGCUAGUAAUCGUGGAUCAGCAUGCCACGGUGAAUACGUUCCCAGGCCUUGUACACACCGCCCGUCACACCAUGGGAGUUGGAUUCACCCGAAGGCGUUGCGCUAACUCGCAAGAGAGGCAGGCGACCACGGUGGGUUUAGCGACUGGGGUGAAGUCGUAACAAGGUAGCCGUAGGGGAACCUGCGGGCUGGAUCACCUCCUUU
Molecule: non-coding RNA, 591 nt
Filed under: Sphingomonas hengshuiensis
Lineage: Bacteria; Pseudomonadati; Pseudomonadota; Alphaproteobacteria; Sphingomonadales; Sphingomonadaceae
Description: Bacterial small subunit ribosomal RNA
Rfam family: Bacterial small subunit ribosomal RNA
Source: Rfam by way of RNAcentral